CUGCUGAAAGCUGAAUUUUUGAGGCUCAGCCUGGUAGGCAUGCACUAAGAAUACCUCGGACAAAAGGGCUGUACCUCUCUCAGCACCUUAGGCCACUCUUCAGCUCCCAAAAAGGACUUCCUAGAGAUUGCAUCCACACAUGGACCACAAUUGAUCCAAAUUCCCAACUUUGCAGGCUUUUCCUGCAUGAGUGAGGAAGAAGCUACCAUCAUGGCAGGCAAGGCAAGAACAGGGAUAAAUGCCUGGGUCUCCCAUCUCAAGAAAUCAGCUGCCUGAUUUCAACAGCCUGACCUGUUGGCUUCUCUGCGUACUCUGCUUUGAUGGAUCUGCUGAGCUUGUCCCUGAAGGCUUGGAUACAGUGGUUCUUCCUAAUAUUAGGAGCUGGCCAGUAUGGGAGCACUGGACCUGACAGCUGUGGGCACUGUGGCCAUGAACAAAGGCUUUUCUGUUUUGGGGGCUGCCAGGCUGUCAGUCUGCAGGCAGGGAAAGGAUCACUUGC
Cyanistes caeruleus (blue tit) is the source of this 499-nucleotide non-coding RNA. NCBI's taxonomy places the organism in Eukaryota, Metazoa, Chordata, Aves, Passeriformes, Paridae. The record is from RefSeq and is a predicted model, not a curated record.